AAUAAGUGCAAUUUUACACUUCACGUCAAACAUUUGACCGUUCGUCUUAUUUAAAAAAAUUUUAUGAUUAGUAUUUUUAUUGUUAUUAGAUAAUAAAGCAUGAAUAAUACUUCAUGUGUGACUAUUUUUUUAAUUUUUUAUAAUUUUUUUAAUAAAACAAACGGUUAAACGUUGGACACGGAUUUUCAUGGUUGCACUUAUU
Non-coding RNA from Oryza nivara, 202 nucleotides. Lineage: Eukaryota; Viridiplantae; Streptophyta; Magnoliopsida; Poales; Poaceae. The record is from Rfam.